AUCGCUACUCUCUUUCGACUUCUCCGCCUCCUGAACUUCUGGAAACUUCCGGAUAGCCUCCACCGUUGGAUUAAUCGACACGUCAUCGAUUUUCUCAACAAAUCCGGUAUAAUCAGAAACCACAUGAACCACGUUUAAAUAACCGGAAUCGAUAUCAGAAGGUAAAUGAACCGGUACCGGUAUCGGUAUUGGAGUCACUACUUCCGAGAUCUCAGAGUCAUCGACGGAGGACGAUUUAUGAGUGAGUUUAGAAGUAGCGAUGAUGCAGACGAUGAUAGAGUUGAUGACUAAGUAAAGAUACGGUGGUUUUAAGAGGAAGACGGUGUUAUCGUAAAUAAUCGGAA
This is a long non-coding RNA of Arabidopsis thaliana (thale cress), 344 nucleotides long. RefSeq annotates it as other RNA. The transcript has a single exon. The record is from RefSeq. NCBI's taxonomy places the organism in Eukaryota, Viridiplantae, Streptophyta, Magnoliopsida, Brassicales, Brassicaceae.